RNAcentral lists this transfer RNA (73 nucleotides) under Streptococcus agalactiae. RNAcentral's name for it is "tRNA-Asp". It matches the Rfam family "tRNA". Rfam says of the family: Transfer RNA (tRNA) molecules are approximately 80 nucleotides in length. The record is from RNAcentral. Lineage: Bacteria; Bacillati; Bacillota; Bacilli; Lactobacillales; Streptococcaceae.
GGUCCCGUAGUGUAGCGGUUAUCACGUCGCCCUGUCACGGCGAAGAUCGCGGGUUCGAUUCCCGGCGGGACCG